CACUGGCUCCCUAUACAUUUAGAGUUUUUUUUAAGAUCCUAUUAUUUGUUUUCAAAUCUUGAAAUGGCCCCGCCCCACCUUAACUCUUUGACCUCCUUCGCUCCUACGCACCUGCCCGGUGAAAAUCAACUCAUAUUACUGCCGCUUACCAAAGUUAGUUGGAAUAAAUUCAACUCGUAUCUCGCGGCACCACCACAAAUGGAAUCAAUAUUGCUCUGUCUUCUCCAUGCUGGUUGCGAGUGUUCUCAUUUUGUAUUUGUGUUUUUGACGCGUUCAAUAAAUGUUUGAGACUGUUACCGUCCUUUCUUUUUUACUUCAUUCUUCUUCAAAUUUGAGCAAACAGGGACAGUAGUGAACCAAAGUAACACCGUCCAAAUAAGUUUACCACUGAAAUAUGAAAACAGUGAAACAAAGUAAAGAAACGCGUAGGAGAAAGGUGAAUGGUGCCGCAACGCAGCUCAGAUUUUAAUACCCAUAAUUGUCACAGAAGUAUGAAGUGCUUAUUUAUUUAUUUUUUUUUUUGUAUGGUUACCUACUAAAGCGCCACACACACACACACACACACAGACAGAAUAACCUUCAGGCUAGAAAUUGAAACUUCUUUGUGACUACCUGUAACUGAACUUGAGAAGACUCCUUUUCUUCUUUUUAUAUAUUUAUUUUUUUUACCUCCCACUAGGAGAUUAAAUUUUUCAGAGAGCAGAUAUUAAGACUUUUGUGUUUACAGACAGAGGAAUGAGUGAACACAUCCCUGGAAGUGAUGCAUUUUCUUUUCUUUUUUUUUUUUAUUUUUUUUAUCUGCAUACUUAAGACUUCUUUUUUGUCCGUACCUGUAUUUGUUUGCGACGAUAAGAAUAUUGAAAGAGGCUCUCCUAAUUUUCUACGGCGGAUUAAAAAAAGGAUAAGCUUCGUAUCUAAAAUCAGUUCGUGAGCGGGAAAAAAUGUGGAAAACUGCAACCUUGCUUUCCCACUUUCUCCUUCCUCUCUCGCCUACUCCUCUCCACCGUGUACAGGAGAUUGGCUAUAAAAAGACAGACUAGAAGGCCGCGGGGAUACAAUUAGGCAGCAACCUUAAAGGCUCUCUCAUCGUCGCCAGGCCUCGGAUGACCACUGUGCUGACCCCAUGUUUAUUAGAUUGACCUCUGCCUGGACGCAUUAUUAGCGAUGUCGUGCGUGCUUGUGUGUGUACAAGACGCGGAGAGCUCGGGCGUCAACUUCGGCGGUUUCUGCGAGUGUCUGUUCCAAGGUGUGUUGUGUGGAAGAGUUGGAGAGGGAGGCGGUUGGUGGAUCGAAGUCGGCACCUUGGGUCAAGUUUAGCGCUCUGACAAUCAUGAGAGCAAAUAAGCCGACAUUCUCGGCGAGUGUGCUCCCUGAGCGGGGCUCCCUUUAACAUGCGCCUCUGGAAAAGCCAAACACAACCUCCUCACACUGCUUAUCUAUCAUUUAUAUCCAAUUUGAGGCCAAAAUGUUCCUCUCACAUUACUUUUGACUUGUGUUUUGUUCCCCCCUUUUUUUUAUCCCUACAGCACAAACCGAUCAAUGCCCCGGCGCUCUACCGUUCACCCUGAACUGCCGGUGAACUCCCGCGGAACGCCGGCAGGCUCUCCACCCCGAUCCCAUCGGUUUGAGGGUCACCAGGGGGGCGUCGCUGUGCCAAUAUGCAGAUGAGCCCAUGCCCCUCCGAUGACUCUGGCCUGAAGCCCCGCCCCUCUCUCUGCCGGCGGCUUUGAAUCGAGGGUCGACCCCCCUGACAACAACCUGCUCCGACACACGAAAUAGGCCUUUAACAGCGUGGGGAAGCCCAAUGGCCGGUCUUCAUGAGCCACUGAAGACGGAAAGUGUGGCGGUGGUGAGAAGGAGGAGGAGAGGGAUUACCUCAGCGACGGCACAAAUCAAAUUAAUAUCUUUAAAAGAUGUGGGGAUCAAUGAGGUGUCACCCAGCUAUACACCGCGAGUGUAAAGUGACCCCCAUAAACAGGACGGCACUACGUUUUAGCAGCGGACUGAAAAUGUUGAUCAAGAGAUAAGUGGAUUUAUUGACGAGCAAUUCAACUAAAACACUACUAAAUAAAAUCAGUCAUUUGAAAUAUUUGGACAGAUGUUUUGGGAACUAAAGCUCCUUGUCUCUUUUUUCCCCCCAACCCCUUACCACAAUUAUUAUAACUACAUUAGUCUGUCAAAGUUCAAGAUAUGUGCAAUAUUAUGCAAAAAUACCAAUAAUAUAAUAUAUAAUAUAUAACAUAAUGUGGGAGUGAGAACCAAACACUGGUGACUGUCAUUUGAUAAAAA
Long non-coding RNA from Hippocampus comes (tiger tail seahorse), 2289 nucleotides. RefSeq lists it as uncharacterized. The transcript is spliced from 2 exons. The record is from RefSeq and is a predicted model, not a curated record. Lineage: Eukaryota; Metazoa; Chordata; Actinopteri; Syngnathiformes; Syngnathidae.